GAGGGAAUCUUCCGCAAUGGGCGAAAGCCUGACGGAGCAACGCCGCGUGAGUGAUGAAGGUCUUCGGAUCGUAAAACUCUGUUAUUAGGGAAGAACAAAUGUGUAAGUAACUAUGCACGUCUUGACGGUACCUAAUCAGAAAGCCACGGCUAACUGCGUGCCAGCAGCCGCGGUAAUACGUAGGUGGCAAGCGUUAUCCGGGAUUAUUUGGCGUAGAGCGCGCGUAGUCGGUUUUUUGAGUCUGAUGUGAAAGCCCACUGCUCAACCGUUGAGGGUCAUUGGAAGCUGGAAAACUUGAGUGCUGAAGAGGAAAGUGGCAUUCCCUGUGUAGCGGUGAUAUGCGCAGAGAUAUGGAGGAACACCAGUGGCGAAGGCGACUUUCUGGUCUGUAACUGAUGCUGCUGUGCGAAGGCGUGGGGAUCAAACAGG
This 429-nucleotide ribosomal RNA is filed under the name Actinomycetes bacterium. RNAcentral's name for it is "Actinobacteria bacterium partial 16S ribosomal RNA". It matches the Rfam family "Bacterial small subunit ribosomal RNA", at positions 355 to 776 of the family's 1533-position model. The record is from RNAcentral. Lineage: Bacteria; Bacillati; Actinomycetota; Actinomycetes.